RNAcentral lists this ribosomal RNA (505 nucleotides) under uncultured bacterium. RNAcentral describes it as "partial 16S ribosomal RNA". It matches the Rfam family "Bacterial small subunit ribosomal RNA", at positions 28 to 507 of the family's 1533-position model. The record is from RNAcentral.
GACGAACGCUGGCGGCGUGCCUAAUACAUGCAAGUAGAACGCACAGUUUAUACCGUAGCUUGCUACACCAUAAACUGUGAGUUGCGAACGGGUGAGUAACGCUUAGGUAACCUGCCUGGUAGCGGGGGAUAACUAUUGGAAACGCUAGCUAAUACCGCAUAAUAUUUAUUAUUGCAUGAUAAUUUAUUGAAAGAUGCUAUUGCAUCACUACCAGAUGGACCUGCGUUGUAUUAGCUAGUAGGUGAGGUAACGGCUCACCUAGGCGACGAUACAUAGCCGACCUGAGAGGGUGAGAGGCCACACUGGGACUGAGACACGGCCCAGACUCCUACGGGAGGCAGCAGUAGGGAAUCUUCGGCAAUGGACGAAAGUCUGACCGAGCAACGCCGCGUGAGUGAAGAAGGUUUUCGGAUCGGAAAGCUCUGUUGUAAGAGAAGAACGGGUGUGAGAGUGGAAAGUUCACACUGUGACGGUAUCUGACCAGAAAGGGACGGCUAACUACGUG